This 610-nucleotide long non-coding RNA is filed under the name Vigna radiata. Its description in RNAcentral is "long non-coding RNA (VRAD_LNC005597)". The record is from RNAcentral. Lineage: Eukaryota; Viridiplantae; Streptophyta; Magnoliopsida; Fabales; Fabaceae.
UGACUAUUAAAAGGAUCAGUUGGGCUAUUGGGAAGCUCAACCGAGUUGCGGACCAUCUAGAUGGAGCUCGGCCUUGGAACAUGGUCGUUAGGUAGACGACCUCGAAGUUGAAAGCCAUGGGAGAGGUCGUCCAUGUGGAACUUGGUCAAUGAACAAGGUAAGCAGUGCUAGUAACCCUUUUGGCUCAGGUCGUUGAGGUUGCCCGAUGACGACCACAGAGUGAUUAUAGCUUUAAGAUGUCGAACUCCCCGGUCAGAUAUGGCAUCAUAGAUAUGGAUGUUAGGCUGAGAGAGCAAGAACGAAAGAGAAGAAGCAAACAAAUAGGACUUUACGAUUUUGGGAAAUUAGAGGGGAAUCAUUGUGUCGGUCACAAUAGCGAACUAGGAUAGAGGAAUAUGAAGGUGUCGUCCCUGUAGCCCUAUACCUAGGGUUUUUAAAUAGACGAUCACACGCAAAGAAGAAGGAUAGCCACGCUCUGGGGCCUUUAGUAGAGCCACCCUCUUGGGCCCCUUGUACAUAAUUACAUCUCAAACUAAAAAAAAUGGCAUAUUUAGAACGUUAAAGAUAAACCAAAUAUAUAAAAUAAAAUUGAAAAAUUGUUGUUCCUAAU